AUAAAUCUUCAGGGCGGGGUUUGAUUCCCCACCGGCGGUAUAGCCCGCGAGCCGUAAGGUAUGAUUCGGUGAAACUCCGAAGCCGACAGUAAAGUCUGGAUGAAAGAAGAUAGAU
Molecule: non-coding RNA, 115 nt
Filed under: Clostridium magnum
Lineage: Bacteria; Bacillati; Bacillota; Clostridia; Eubacteriales; Clostridiaceae
Also listed under: 1 other name
Description: FMN sequence
Rfam family: FMN riboswitch aptamer (RFN element)
About the family: The RFN element is a highly conserved domain that is found frequently in the 5'-untranslated regions of prokaryotic mRNAs that encode for flavin mononucleotide (FMN) biosynthesis and transport proteins. This element is a metabolite-dependent riboswitch that directly binds FMN in the absence of proteins.
Source: RNAcentral